Molecule: unclassified non-coding RNA, 263 nt
Filed under: plant metagenome
Description: partial contains small subunit ribosomal RNA, internal transcribed spacer 1, and 5.8S ribosomal RNA
Source: RNAcentral
UUUCCGUAGGUGAACCUGCGGAAGGAUCAUUAUUAUAUAACCCAUAUGCGAGGGCUGUCGCUAACUCGAAAGGCCGUGCACGCCCGAUUUCUCUUACACACAUCCAUCUCACCCCUAUGUGCACCACCGCGUGGUUCCCCCUUUGGCUUGUUCGGAGGGGGGCUUACGUUUUCACACAAACUUUGUAUGCAGUGUAGAAUGUAUUUUUUUCUUUUGCGAUCACGCAAUCAAUACAACUUUCAACAACGGAUCUCUUGGCUCUC